Molecule: small RNA, 87 nt
Filed under: Pseudomonas amygdali pv. tabaci
Lineage: Bacteria; Pseudomonadati; Pseudomonadota; Gammaproteobacteria; Pseudomonadales; Pseudomonadaceae
Description: isrK
Rfam family: isrK Hfq binding RNA
Source: RNAcentral
GUCGCUGCAAAAUCAGCGAUCGGGUUUGGUCGCCCGAGAAAAUACAGGCGCAACAGCGCCCCCAUUACGAUUGCAGGCGCUUUUUUU